GGUCUGCCACCCUGUUGCUCUAGCCAAAUUCACUAUCUUACCAGAAAACGAGCUUGAAAAAGUAGUCACUGAGGGCAAUGCCAGACGAGCAAUGAAGGUGGAAGAGUGGGUGUCACUGUUAAAGUUGCAGGAGACAACCUAGUCUUCAGUGAAGCCCAGGAUGCCCUUGAAGGGGCCCUCCAGUGCCUGCUUCACCACUUUCUUGAUGUCAUUGUAUUUG
Molecule: long non-coding RNA, 220 nt
Filed under: Lynx pardinus (Iberian lynx)
Lineage: Eukaryota; Metazoa; Chordata; Mammalia; Carnivora; Felidae
Source: RNAcentral